GACGAACGCUGGCGGCGUGCCUAACACAUGCAAGUCGAGCGGAGAUAUUUGGAAAGCUUGCUUUUUGAAUAUCUUAGCGGCGGACGGGUGAGUAACGCGUGAGUAACCUGGCCUAUACAGGGGGAUAACAGUUAGAAAUGACUGCUAAUACCGCAUAAGACCACAGUAUCGCAUGGUACAGGGGUCAAAGAUUUAUCGGUAUAGGAUGGACUCGCGUCCCAUUAGCUAGUUGGCGGGAUAACAGCCCACCAAGGCGACGAUGGGUAGCCGACCUGAGAGGGUGAUCGGCCACACUGGGACUGAGACACGGCCCAGACUCCUACGGGAGGCAGCAGUGGGGAAUAUUGGGCAAUGGGCGCAAGCCUGACCCAGCAACGCCGCGUGAAGGAAGAAGGUCUUCGGAUUGUAAACUUUUGUCGCCAGGGAAGAUAAUGACGGUACCUGGUAAGAAAGCCCCGGCUAACUAC
RNAcentral lists this ribosomal RNA (467 nucleotides) under uncultured bacterium. Its description in RNAcentral is "bacterial SSU rRNA". It matches the Rfam family "Bacterial small subunit ribosomal RNA", at positions 28 to 504 of the family's 1533-position model. The record is from RNAcentral.